RNAcentral lists this small RNA (367 nucleotides) under Drosophila willistoni. RNAcentral describes it as "GK26957". The record is from RNAcentral. Lineage: Eukaryota; Metazoa; Arthropoda; Insecta; Diptera; Drosophilidae.
CUUUUUCGAAAAUCAAGAUGUGUAUUCUUGCUGCCCUUCGUAGCGUUGUGUCCUUAAGGAAGUUCUGGUCCAAAUGGUUUUAACGAUCCUUGUUUUGGGCCAAACAAUGGAUUGUUUACUUCCUGGAGUGGACCGAGUGGGUCAGGCUUCUGGGCAGGAGGUGUGGCUAAACCUGCACGGCUGAAGAAGAAAAGGUGAAGGUGAAAUAAAUAAUUUUACUGCUUUUAAUUAAUAGUGUGGAUCUGUUAACCAUAUACAGUUCAUACGUAUUGACCAUGGACUGGCAGUCUGUAAUCGUAACAGUCGAAGAAAGGCUUAGUGAAAAAAGUUUUAUGCACACAUGACAAAAAACACUGACACUUUUAUA